This 23-nucleotide ribosomal RNA is filed under the name Heterostelium pallidum. RNAcentral's name for it is "partial 26S ribosomal RNA". Lineage: Eukaryota; Evosea; Eumycetozoa; Acytosteliales; Acytosteliaceae. The record is from RNAcentral.
GCGACAUCAGCCAAGCGAGACUA